GAUGAACGCUGGCGGCGUGCCUAAUACAUGCCAGUCGAGCGAACGGACGAGAAGCUUGCUUCUCUGAUGUUAGCGGCGGACGGGUGAGUAACACGUGGAUAACUUACCUAUAAGACUGGGAUAACUUCGGGAAACCGUAGCUAAUACCGGAUAAUAUUUUGAACCGCAUGGUUCAAAAGUGAAAGACGUUCUUGCUGUCACUUAUAGAUGGAUCCGCGCUGCAUUAGCUAGUUGGUAAGGUAACGGCUUACCAAGGCAACGAUGCAUAGCCGACCUGGGAGGUGAAUCGGCCACACUGAAACUGGAACACGGUCCAGACUCCUACGGAAGGCAGCAUUAGGGAAUCUGCCGCAAUGGGCGAAAGCCGAACGAGGCAACGCCGCGGGAGUGAGGAAGGUCUCCGAAUCUUAAAACUCUGUUAUUAGGGAAGAGCAUAUGUAGAAAUAACUGUGCUCAUCUUGACUGUACCUAAGCAGAAAGCCACGGCUAACUACGU
Molecule: ribosomal RNA, 496 nt
Filed under: uncultured bacterium
Lineage: Bacteria
Description: partial 16S ribosomal RNA
Rfam family: Bacterial small subunit ribosomal RNA
Source: RNAcentral